CGUUCUAUAGUAUUAUUAAGGCAGCAAACCUUUAUACUUCUAUCAUUUUUAAAACAAACUUAAUACUGAGGGUACAGUGACAAAAAAGCCAAAAUGGUCACAACACUUUUCAAAAUAUGUAGUACGGGCCGUUCUACAUUGGGUUCAAAUUCCACCCUGGGUAUCUUUGACCUUUUGAUAAUUUGUAAUAUGUUGACACAUACAUUAUGUAUCAGUUAACAAUUUGGGUAGCUGGCAUGUAUAUUCGGUUCAAUCCAAUGUCUAAGAUAUAUGCACACCUAAACACCUCAUUGUACUUGUAUAUAAAACCAUUAUUUUUUUUAAAAAUCAUCCUAUACUCCUCGUUCUGAUUGUUAAUGUAUCCUUAUCACUGUGAGAUAUAACUGCUAAAGUAGUGACGUGUGCUGUUCACCAAUCGCAAGGUAAUGAAGGUCUCGGCAAGCCCAGAUGCCAAACGGUUUCAAUUCCACGUAGAAGCUGCGUCACUUCAUUUAAAACAUUACAUUUUUCCUUUUCUUUGGCGUAUGAGGAGGGGAACCAUGGACAAAGCCGUGUCCAUGAUUCCCCCCUUCUGUGUAUACAAUACUUGGGCCUUGUGUGCCCAGUCAAAAAGAAACCAAAUCCUAUUGCUAGGUUAGUAUUGAGCUAAUUGCCAUAGCAUAUUACUGGCAACAUCUCAAUAUACAAAAUCUGCAAUCCGGUUUCGCUCUCCCGUUGGAACAAUUUCUUUUCUCCUUUAUUUUUUUAAAAUUCAACUUCCUUGAAUGAAAGCAUGAACAUUAAAGUCUUUUUAUCUCACCCUCUUUUAAAAAUAAUGAUUGUUUAGUGUUCAUCUGUAAAAAUGACCAUGCAGAAUUAAAUAGGCGCAGUUGACUUGGCGAUUUUCAUUAACAUCUUCAGUGUGUUGUGUUGUGUUGGAGAGAUUGAACCCCAUCUCAAUACGAUUACUUUUCAUUUUAACACCCGGGGAUUCCAAGAAAAAAAAUUGUCCUGAGAUUAGGAAAUUACAAGUGUAUACGACUUAAUACUACUAUACUAACACACUCAUGUUUAAUCCUUUUCAGUGUGUUCAUCUGUUUGAGAGAACUUUUGAUGAAGAGCGCUCCAAGAUGACAAUCUAGAACCACGUUAUCGAAUCCCGCCCUUCGUUUUAUGUGGUCAAGAGAUCACUUGGCUGCAGUUUCUAACAUGUUUAAUGACUGUGUAAUGCAGCUGUUUUGGGACCAUUUUACAAUCAUAGAUUGGUGAAUUGUAAGUUCAAGUUGUAUGUGUGCACUCUGCUCUAAGAAAAGCAAUAAGCUUUAAUUUAAUCACUCACUCCUCACAGUAUAUAUAUAUAUAUAUAAAUAUAUAUGGGAAGCAGAGUGGUGAAAAAAAAUUAUAGUUCUCCAGAUUUGAGAACUUUUAAAUUUGUAAAACCUUCAACAGAAUUUAGGUUAAAGGUUUCAUGCUUUCAUGGGGGCCCGCAUCCUUUGAAUUGAGACUUAUCUCUUUCAAUAAACCAAUAAAUGAGAUGUUUUGAUAUUCGGAGCUUCAAUCUUUUCAGCUGAAAAUUUCUUAGGUUCAACAAUUUUUUAAUAUAUAUCUAACGAUUUGAUUAAAAAUAGGUUUCUGCUAUAAUACGAGUUUAUCUAUAUUUAUGUCAGUUAUAAGCCUAGGUGAAAUAAAUUUUUUAAUAUUGAUAUCCAGAAAGGUGGUAUUAAUAUCUCAUCCUCUUAAUAUUAUUUGCUUGAAUUUAGUUAAGGGCUUCCUUGAAAUUACUCCUUUCCAGUUCGAUAAAAUUUGGUACAGUUUGAUCCAUACAUCAAUUCACUUCCUCUUUAAAUACCUAUGUAGGAUUGCGUCAAUUAAAAAAACCCAGCAUUGUUAUUAUGUAAAAUAUAUGCUAAACAAUAUAAAUAAUUUAUAUUAGUGUAGCAGCGUGCACAGACUUCAUAAAGACUUUAACUUCCGGUUCACCAAAUCCGUAAACCCUGUCUAUGUUUGAAUCCACUGCAUUUCGAUCGAAUAUCUCAUGCGAUAAUGCAUAAUUCACCAUAUAUCCCAUAUGGUAAUACAUAAUUGUUAACAUCAUUUAUUUUUUACAUGCAUAUAUAUAAUAUAUGGCAUGCUACCUUUUAUACUGACUCAAAACUAUAUUUUUCAUUUAGGUUGGGACAUUAUUUGCGGUACAUGUUUAGGUUCUUUGCAUCGUAAUUUCAAAUCCCACCGAGGUCUAUCUUAGCUUUUAAUCAUCCUGGAGUCGAUAAAAUAAUGUGCCAGUUACGUACUUAGUUUAAUAUUGUCGGUUAUAUAAUUCUCUUAAAAUUCUGGUCUUGUGCCUUCGUUAGAAUUAAUUAAUUUUAUCGCUUUAACAACGUAAUAAUGUUGAUCAUUCUAUUAUGCCUUAGUUAAGAUGUUAUGACAUUUAUCAUAUUCAAAUAAGUCCGGUCUUAGUAAUUAUUUUCAACAUAAUUUUCUAGAUUCAACCAAGAAGUAAUUAACAAUAUUCAUCAAUAUCGCAUAAGUUGGGGAAAUUAGUGCACUAAAGAAAAUUAUAUUCGCUUUUAUCUGAAGAAUUUCUUGCAUAAAAUAAACAUCGAAGUAAAUCCUAGCAGAGAAUUAUUCUAAGAAAAUAAGUAAUCUGAAAUAUUGGUAAUGGUUUGUAAAAUAAAAUCAAGUAGGUUUUUCCCUGGAGAAAAGGGAGUUCUGUUUUUUUUUUUUUUUUUUUUUUUAGGAGAAUUCCCCUUCGAAAACGAAACGGUUACCUCCUAAGCAUUGCAUUCGAAAUUACCUGAUUAGAUUAAGGUUAUUUAACCAAAUAACAGCCAAAGCUUUGGAUAACAGAUUAGUCUUUAAAAAGAGAAAAAAUGUUUUGGUAGGUUUUGACGUAAGUGAAUUUUAGUAGAAAUUUGUAUGAGUUGUAUGUCAGCGAAUAAGCAAAAAGCAGUUUUAGCGGGUUUCUUUGAUCUCAACUGUUUCUAAUUGUAGACUAGGAAAUUCGCUAACCAAUAGCAUUUCCCAAAUGUUAUGAGAUGGUUCAUUCAAAAGAAUCGUAACAUAAACAGAGCGAUUUUUUUUUAAGUUGCUAAGACUGAAGGAAUGGGCGAGCCAGUGAUCUCUUCAGGCUCUUCGACACUGGUGAGACUGAUGUCGUAAUUGUUCUCUUUAAACUGUUGCAGUUCAACACCCACAGGAUUGAUAUGAGCAGGGGGAAUAUACCAGAGGAUCGAAGUAUAUGAGACGUAAGAAUACGCAUAGUGGUUAAUGCAGGAACAGGAGGAUUAGGCACAAUAAGGGUACCAUGUGGUGCACUGACAAAUGAGGCUAUGACGCCUGUUGAUGGCAUAUUUCUUCUUCGUUGCGAAUAGAAAUUCAAAAUUAUAAAUUCACAUUAAACUAAAUAUUCUGAAACAGAAGGUUAAUUUUUCUUCUUCAUGAAAUCGUUCCGUAAAAUAUUUCUAAUUAAGGCAUAAUGUCUGAAAUUUGGAGGAGAGUGCUAAUCGAUUACAUCGGCCCCAGUGAGAACUUAACGCGUACUUUCAUCAACGCCUGAAGGAUUAGAAACACAAUAGAUCUCGGCGGGAUUUGAACCAAGAGAGUAAAGAGCCAGCAGAAAUAACGCAAGGCACUUUGUCGACUGUCUAACUAUUCUGACAUAAUCGGGGAACGUGUAUUUGGAGGAUGGGACAAAAAGAAGUUAAAUGUUCAUGCGUAUCAUUUUAAUGAAUGCGUUAAAAUAUAAACUAUUUAUGUAAUAGUGGUAUCACACACAAUGCUAGACAUUUUAAAGAAGGAGUACAGACGAUAUUACUCUUAAUACUCCACGCCUGCUUUCACUCAAAGUUGAAAGGCAAUAUCGGCUAUGGUGGAUUUUUGAACUCAGAACGAAAGGGAAACAAAAUCAAAUUUUGUAGUACAUAAUUACUUUAUUUGGGAUUCAACUUUUUCUGUCCCUUACGCUUUAUUAUAGUGAGUAAAGUGUCAUUCUAAGAAGAUAUUUUGCCGAAGUGAAAGAAAUUCUAACCCGCUUACUGGUAUAUUCCCGUUAAAAAUAUACAUUGAGCGCAUUUAUGUUUGUGUAAGGUAUAUUCCUUACUUUCUACACAGAUAUAUUUCCAUGGGCGUUUUAAAGAAAUAAUAUCAAAAUAUUUAGAGGAAAGAAUUACGUCUACUUCUAAGUACAUCUUUCUUUAAAAUGUAGAAGUAUGUACGUAUCGAAUAGAAUUCAAAUUUCCCCCAUGGUACACGCACAUUGCUAUUUUCAUAUUUAGCAUUAAAAACCGCGUAAAGCAUCUUUUAAAAACGUGGUCAGUGAUGACACAAAAAUUAGUUAUAUCUCUAUUCCCCGGGUGUCUAAGUUCAAAUUUCAUAUAAUGUGUGUUUUUUUUUUAUCACCUGUCUCUAAUCCUUAACAAAAAAAUAAAAAAUAUAUAAUCUCCAGUAAGUCUGACACAUCUGGGUAGAAGGACUAAAAUAAAUAAAAAUUAAAUAAAAGUAUGUCUUAAAUAUUUCAGCAUGGAAAUAUAUAUAUAUAUAUAUAUAUAUAUAUAUAUAUAUAUAUAUAUAUAUAUAUAUAUAUAUAUAUAUAU
Molecule: long non-coding RNA, 4571 nt
Filed under: Octopus sinensis (East Asian common octopus)
Lineage: Eukaryota; Metazoa; Mollusca; Cephalopoda; Octopoda; Octopodidae
Description: uncharacterized LOC118761426
Source: RNAcentral